GACACACCAAAGUCAAAGAGCACUGAGUUAAUAUAUCUUUGUAUACUGCUAUUAAAGUGCUGACCGGUUCUAAAUCAGACCAAAUGUUUGUUAUAUUCGAUAUUCAUAUCGAAUCGAAUAUCUAUAUACGAUAUUCCAAACAUUUGCAAGGUGGCAUUUUGAAAUGUCACCUUGUAGAUAUUUGGAAUAUCGAAUAUCUUAUAUCGAAUAUAUAUAUUCGAUAUCAGUAUCGAAUAUAACAAACAUUUGGUCUGAUUUAGAACUGGACGGCACUUUAGCAGUAUACAGAGAUAUAUUAACUCAGUCUCACUCUCAGUGCUCUUUGGUGUGUGUGUC
Molecule: non-coding RNA, 336 nt
Organism: Paramuricea clavata
Lineage: Eukaryota; Metazoa; Cnidaria; Anthozoa; Malacalcyonacea; Plexauridae
Source: the annotation of a GenBank genome assembly